Molecule: long non-coding RNA, 661 nt
Organism: Ostrinia nubilalis (European corn borer)
Lineage: Eukaryota; Metazoa; Arthropoda; Insecta; Lepidoptera; Crambidae
Exons: 2
Source: RefSeq, a predicted model, not a curated record
UAAAACCAAAGGUGGCAAUCUGACGUUUUGGUCAAAAUUGAGUUAUGGUAGUGGCAACACUGGAAAUCUUGAUUAAAUUUAUAUAAACUACUCUCUCGGAAUCAUAAACGGCUAUCUCCCAUGGUUACAACUGUUUAAAAUGGCCCUUAGUACCAAAUCCGGCAAUCUUCUGAUACUUAGAAACAAAGAUGGCAAUAUUGUAUUCUCAACCAAUAGGAAGCCCUCAAUUUACACGUCAUAGUAUGGCGCAUCUACGGAAAGUUCGUUAAUUUGCAGUGCCUUUUAAAGUGAAUUAUAGGUGUCUAAAUCAUUGCAUUUAGUUAAAUUUAUAAUAAAAGUGAAGAUGGAGAGUCACCCAAUACCAGAGACUAAUAGAUACACAAGAAAGCGGCGAAGAAACACAGAAAACUGGAAGAAGAAUGUGGCCAAAAAAAUGAGGUAUUCAGCUCCAUCUACUGAAACUAAUUACUGUGAAGAGUUAUUGGCUGAUACUAGCGAACUGCGUAUUUGAAAAUACGACUCACAGUUACAAUCGUCUGGUCAUAAGUAAAUUUGUAAUGAGAAAAGUAAUUUAUUACUGUUUCUAAGAAAGUCUAAUUUGAGGCUCAUUUAUGUGACUAAACAUUUUUAUUUUAUUAAAUAAACAAUGAGUAAUAUUUUU